ACAUCUAGUGAGAUCUGGGAUCCUCCCCUGCGGGUUGAGAGCUGGCAGGGCAAGGGUUGUGUUUCACAAUCCUGGAGACUCACAAGAUGUGGUGACCUCAGAACCGUGCCUAUCUGUAAAGAGCACCGAGGCUUGGCACCCAUCCAGGCUCUAAAGGGCAAGUCCCAGACAGCUCUGUGCAAAUCAUGCCAGGCAGGCCAGAUCCCCUUACAGGCGGUGCAGCUAGCUCGGCGUGGCAUUCAACUAGCAGCACAGGCCGGGCUGCAACUGCUGGCAGGUUCCUUGGAGCAAGCCAAUUCAGGCUCCCUUCACUGCCUGCCCGGUUAUUACCGAUAUCCGAGGAGGGGAAGCCUUUGGAAGCAGAGACAAAGUUAAAGCAUGUGCACUGAAGUUGCUGCUCUGAAGCCCGUAUCCUGCAAUGCAAUGAGCAGCCCAACCCCCUCCAGCCACUGAAAAAAAAAACCCAGCUAGAGCCAACAGGACACGCCACCAUGAAUGGCAGGAAUCCCCCCGAAGGUUAGCAGCUGGCUUUGCAGAAUUAGGCUUCCCACAGCAGCCCCAGAGACAGCCCUCGGUCACGCUACUGCAACGGGCAUGCCGGCAGGGCUGCGGCCGUCUGAAAUGCGCGGGAAUCCUGCUCCUUGGGACCCAAAGGACCUUUUA
Long non-coding RNA from Alligator mississippiensis (American alligator), 663 nucleotides. RefSeq lists it as uncharacterized. The record is from RefSeq and is a predicted model, not a curated record. The transcript is spliced from 3 exons. Lineage: Eukaryota; Metazoa; Chordata; Crocodylia; Alligatoridae.